This 461-nucleotide ribosomal RNA is filed under the name uncultured bacterium. RNAcentral's name for it is "bacterial SSU rRNA". It matches the Rfam family "Bacterial small subunit ribosomal RNA", at positions 29 to 524 of the family's 1533-position model. The record is from RNAcentral.
AACGAACGCUGGCGGCAUGCCUAACGCAUGCAAGUCGAACGGGAUCCGGACUUCGGUCCGGUGAGAGUGGCGGACGGGUGAGUAACACGUGGGAACCUGCCUUUUGGUUCGGGAUAACCGCGGGAAACUGCGGCUAAUACCGGAUGCUCCCGAGAGGGAAAGAUUUAUCGCCAGAAGAGGGGCCCGCGUCCGAUUAGGUAGUUGGUGGGGUAAUGGCCUACCAAGCCGACGAUCGGUAGCUGGUCUGAGAGGAUGAUCAGCCACACUGGGACUGAGAUACGGCCCAGACUCCUACGGGAGGCAGCAGUGGGGAAUAUUGGACAAUGGGGGGCGAACCCUGAUCCAGCAAUGCCGCGUGAGUGAUGAAGGCCUUAGGGUUGUAAAGCUCUUUUGCCAGGGAAGAUGAUGACUGUACCUGGAGAAUAAGCCCCGGCUAACUUCGUGCCAGCAGCCGCGGUAAU